CUAGCAGGUCACACUGGCCUGAAGCCACAGCACCCUGGGGCUGUGAGCUCACCAAGCUCCAGGAAGCCAAACAGGGUCAGGCCUGGCUGGUCCCAGGAGGGAGACCUCCCAGGCAAAACACAGGUGUUGCUGGU
Molecule: ribosomal RNA, 134 nt
Filed under: Fukomys damarensis (Damara mole-rat)
Lineage: Eukaryota; Metazoa; Chordata; Mammalia; Rodentia; Bathyergidae
Source: RNAcentral